Molecule: long non-coding RNA, 223 nt
Filed under: Trifolium pratense (red clover)
Lineage: Eukaryota; Viridiplantae; Streptophyta; Magnoliopsida; Fabales; Fabaceae
Description: long non-coding RNA (TPRA_LNC000511)
Source: RNAcentral
AUUCUCUUACCGAGCUUAAUUUUGUGAAUUUUAUUCUGCUUUCUGGUGUACAAGUGGUAGGUCUAGCUAGUUUAUGGGCAGUUUUUGUUGAAUUCAACUUUGUCAUGGGCUUGUGCUUGCUUGAACCUGUGAUUGUUUUGCUGUGAGGUGUAUUUUCUCAGGAAUGUAUUUAUUGACUGGUCUGUGGGUUGUGGUGAUGAAAUUCAUACAAUCUGAAUUACAA